UACUACGAUUUCAAUUUGGGUUAGUCUAUGGUACCCUUUAAUAAAAAAGUACCAGUAUCAUUCAAGUUCAACGUUGCUAGUAUAAUGCAAUUACGUUCAAGUAUAAUAUCAAACAUUUACAGUGUAAUAUAAGGUUUACAACGUAAAGACCAACUUUGGUAUAUUAAUUAAUACUAACAUCAUUACAUGGAAUUAGGUUUAACAAUAAGAUUAUUAUGUAACUUUGGAGUGUGAAUUUGAACAAUAUAGUGCAAUUUACACCUUUUCGUAAUUCACACAUUGAAUGCU
Molecule: long non-coding RNA, 288 nt
Filed under: Malus domestica (apple)
Lineage: Eukaryota; Viridiplantae; Streptophyta; Magnoliopsida; Rosales; Rosaceae
Description: long non-coding RNA (MDOM_LNC009601)
Source: RNAcentral